AGAGUUUGAUCAUGGCUCAGAAUCAACGCUGGCGGCGCGCCUAACACAUGCAAGUCGAACGAGAAAGUGGAGCAAUCCAUGAGUAAAGUGGCGUACGGGUGAGUAACACGUGGAUCAUCUACCUUUUAGUGAGGAAUAACCAUGGGAAACCGUGGCUAAUACCGCAUAAGCCCGAGAGGAGAAAGUCGCAAGACGCUGAAAGAGGAGUCCGCGGCCGAUUAGCUAGUUGGCAGGGUAAAAGCCUACCAAGGCAAAGAUCGGUAGCCGGCCUGAGAGGGCACACGGCCACACUGGCACUGAAACACGGGCCAGACUCCUACGGGAGGCAGCAGUGGGGAAUCUUGCACAAUGGGGGAAACCCUGAUGCAGCGACGCCGCGUGAGCGAUGAAGCCCUUCGGGGUGUAAAGCUCUUUCGUCAGGGAAGAUAGUGACGGUACCUGGAGAAGCAGCUGCGGCUAACUACGUGCCAGCAGCCGCGGUAAUACGUAGGCAGCGAGCGUUGUUCGGAGUUACUGGGCGUAAAGGGUGUGUAGGCGGUUGUUUAAGUUUGGUGUGAAAUCUCCCGGCUUAACUGGGAGGGUGCGCCGAAUACUGAAUGACUUCGAGUGCGGGAGAGGAAAGUGGAAUUCCUGGUGUAGCGGUGAAAUGCGUAGAUAUCAGGAGGAACACCGGUGGUGUAGACGGCUUUCUGGACCGUAACUGACGCUGAGACACGAAAGCGUGGGUAGCAAACAGGAUUAGAUACCCUGGUAGU
Molecule: ribosomal RNA, 755 nt
Filed under: uncultured bacterium
Lineage: Bacteria
Description: bacterial SSU rRNA
Rfam family: Bacterial small subunit ribosomal RNA
Source: RNAcentral